RNAcentral lists this ribosomal RNA (313 nucleotides) under uncultured bacterium. Its description in RNAcentral is "bacterial SSU rRNA". It matches the Rfam family "Bacterial small subunit ribosomal RNA", at positions 28 to 334 of the family's 1533-position model. The record is from RNAcentral.
GAUGAACGCUGGCGGCGUGCCUAACACAUGCAAGUCGAACGGACAUAAUUUGAAACCUAGUGAGAAUUAUGUUAGUGGCGGACGGGUGAGUAACGCGUGGGUAACCUGCCCCAUACCGGGGGAUACCAGCCGGAAACGGCUGCUAAUACCGCAUAAGCGCACAGCUUUGCAUGAAGCAGUGUGAAAAACUCCGGUGGUAUGGGAUGGACCCGCGUCCGAUUAGCCAGGUGGCGGGGUAGAGGCCCACCAAAGCGACGAUCGGUAGCCGGCCUGAGAGGGCGGACGGCCACAUUGGGACUGAGACACGGCCCAA